GUGCUCGCUUCGGCAGCACAUAUACUAAAAUUAGAACGAUAGAGAGAAGAUUAACAUGGCCCCUGUGCAAGGAUGACACACAAAUUCAUGAAGCAUUCCAUAUUUUU
This 107-nucleotide small nuclear RNA is filed under the name Octodon degus (degu). The record is from RNAcentral. Lineage: Eukaryota; Metazoa; Chordata; Mammalia; Rodentia; Octodontidae.